UUGACCUCGGAUCAGGUAGGGAUCC
RNAcentral lists this ribosomal RNA (25 nucleotides) under Parmelina tiliacea. RNAcentral's name for it is "partial 28S ribosomal RNA". Lineage: Eukaryota; Fungi; Ascomycota; Lecanoromycetes; Lecanorales; Parmeliaceae. The record is from RNAcentral.